GCGCUCGUAGCUCAGCGGAUAGAGCACUGGCCUCCGGAGCCAGGUGUCGCGCGUUCAAAUCGCGCCGAGCGCG
RNAcentral lists this transfer RNA (73 nucleotides) under Pseudomonadota bacterium. Its description in RNAcentral is "tRNA-Arg". It matches the Rfam family "tRNA". Rfam says of the family: Transfer RNA (tRNA) molecules are approximately 80 nucleotides in length. Their secondary structure includes four short double-helical elements and three loops (D, anti-codon, and T loops). Further hydrogen bonds mediate the characteristic L-shaped molecular structure. tRNAs have two regions of fundamental functional importance: the anti-codon, which is responsible for specific mRNA codon recognition, and the 3' end, to which the tRNAs corresponding amino acid is attached (by aminoacyl-tRNA synthetases). tRNAs cope with the degeneracy of the genetic code in two manners: having more than one tRNA (with a specific anti-codon) for a particular amino acid; and 'wobble' base-pairing, i.e. permitting non-standard base-pairing at the 3rd anti-codon position. The record is from RNAcentral. Lineage: Bacteria; Pseudomonadati; Pseudomonadota. RNAcentral also lists the same sequence under 1 other name.